GUCGUAGACCCGAAACCAGGUGAUCUACCCUUGGUCAGGUUGAAGUUCAGGUAACACUGAAUGGAGGACCGAACCGACUUACGUUGAAAAGUGAGCGGAUGAACUGAGGGUAGCGGAGAAAUUCCAAUCGAACCUGGAGAUAGCUGGUUCUCUCCGAAAUAGCUUUAGGGCUAGCCUCAAGUGAUGAUUAUUGGAGGUAGAGCACUGUUUGGACGAGGGGCCCCUCUCGGGUUACCGAAUUCAGACAAACUCCGAAUGCCAAUUAAUUUAACUUGGGAGUCAGAACAUGGGUGAUAAGGUCCGUGUUCGAAAGGGAAACAGCCCAGACCACCAGCUAAGGUCCCAAAAUAUAUGUUAAGUGGAAAAGGAUGUGGCGUUGCCCAGACAACUAGGAUGUUGGCUUAGAAGCAGCCAUCAUUUAAAGAGUGCGUAAUAGCUCACUAGUCGAGUGACACUGCGCCGAAAAUGUACCGGGGCUAAACAUAUUACCGAAGCUGUGGAUUGUCCUUUGGACAAUGGUAGGAGAGCGUUCUAAGGGCGUUGAAGCAUGAUCGUAAGGACAUGUGGAGCGCUUAGAAGUGAGAAUGCCGGUGUGAGUAGCGAAAGACGGGUGAGAAUCCCGUCCACCGAUUGACUAAGGUUUCCAGAGGAAGGCUCGUCCGCUCUGGGUUAGUCGGGUCCUAAGCUGAGGCCGACAGGCGUAGGCGAUGGAUAACAGGUUGAUAUUCCUGUACCACCUAUAAUCGUUUUA
Molecule: ribosomal RNA, 751 nt
Filed under: Staphylococcus aureus
Lineage: Bacteria; Bacillati; Bacillota; Bacilli; Caryophanales; Staphylococcaceae
Description: partial 23S ribosomal RNA
Rfam family: Bacterial large subunit ribosomal RNA
Source: RNAcentral